CUGCUGCCUUCCGUAGGAGUUUGGGCCGUGUCUCAGUCCCAAUGUGGCCGUUCACCCUCUCAGGCCGGCUACUGAUCGUCGCCUUGGUAGGCCGUUACCCUACCAACCAGCUAAUCAGACGCGGGUCCAUCCUGCACCACCUUAGUUUUUCACACCUGGCCAUGCGGCCUCGUGCGCUUAUGCGGUAUUAGCACCUGUUUCCAGGUGUUAUCCCCCGGUGCAGGGCAGGUUCCCCACGCGUUACUCACCCGUCCGCCACUAAGUUA
This 266-nucleotide ribosomal RNA is filed under the name uncultured bacterium. Its description in RNAcentral is "partial 16S ribosomal RNA". The record is from RNAcentral.